Small nucleolar RNA from Hemicordylus capensis (graceful crag lizard), 94 nucleotides. Lineage: Eukaryota; Metazoa; Chordata; Lepidosauria; Squamata; Cordylidae. The record is from RefSeq and is a predicted model, not a curated record.
UGCCUUUGAUGACUUGCCAUGCUAAUACCGAAUCCUCAAAUAGAGGCAAAGGCUGCGUUCUGGGUUUUGAGGAAUCUAUCUGGCGCUGAGGCAG